CCUACGGGCGGCAGCAGUAGGGAAUUUUCCACAAUGGGCGAAAGUCUGAUGGAGCAACGCCGCGUGGGUGAAGAAGGUCUUCGGAUCGUAAAACCCUGUUGUUAGAGAAGAAAGUGCGUGAGAGUAACUGUUCACGUUUCGACGGUAUCUAACCAGAAAGCCACGGCUAACUACGUGCCAGCAGCCGCGGUAAUACGUAGGUGGCAAGCGUUAUGCGGUUUUAUUGGGCGUAAAGGGAACGCGAGCGGGCUUUUAAGUCUGAUGGGAAAGCCUUCGGCUUAACCGGAGUAGUGCAUUGGAAACUGGGAGACUUGAGUGCAGAAGAGGAGAGUGGAACUCCAUGUGUAGCGGUGAAAUGCGUAGAUAUAUGGAAGAACACCAGUGGCGAAAGCGGCUCUCUGGUCUGUAACUGACGCUGAGGUUCGAAAGCGUGGGUAGCAAACAGGAUUAGAUACCCGGGUAGUC
Molecule: ribosomal RNA, 465 nt
Filed under: uncultured bacterium
Lineage: Bacteria
Description: partial 16S ribosomal RNA
Rfam family: Bacterial small subunit ribosomal RNA
Source: RNAcentral